UGCAAGCGUUAUCCGGAUUCACUGGGUUUAAAGGGUGCGUAGGUGGGCUGGUAAGUCAGUGGUGAAAUCUCCAGGCUUAACUUGGAAACUGCCAUUGAUACUAUCAGUCUUGAAUACCGUGGAGGUCAGCGGAAUAUGUCAUGUAGCGGUGAAAUGCUUAGAUAUGACAUAGAACACCAAUUGCGAAGGCAGCUGGCUACACGAAUAUUGACACUGAUGCACGAAAGCGUGGGGAUCAAACAGG
Molecule: ribosomal RNA, 244 nt
Filed under: uncultured bacterium
Lineage: Bacteria
Description: partial 16S ribosomal RNA
Rfam family: Bacterial small subunit ribosomal RNA
Source: RNAcentral